This 466-nucleotide ribosomal RNA is filed under the name uncultured bacterium. RNAcentral's name for it is "partial 16S ribosomal RNA". It matches the Rfam family "Bacterial small subunit ribosomal RNA", at positions 36 to 507 of the family's 1533-position model. The record is from RNAcentral.
UCUUCCCUCUGGCGGCGUGCUUAGCACAUGCAAGUCGAACGAUGAAGCCCAGCUUGCUGGGUGGAUUAGUGGCGAACGGGUGAGUAACACGUGAGUAACCUGCCCUUGACUCUGGGAUAAGCCUGGGAAACUGGGUCUAAUACUGGAUAUGACUUCUCAUCGCAUGGUGGGGGGUGGAAAGAUUUAUUGGUCUUGGAUGGACUCGCGGCCUAUCAGCUUGUUGGUGAGGUAAUGGCUCACCAAGGCGACGACGGGUAGCCGGCCUGAGAGGGUGACCGGCCACACUGGGACUGAGACACGGCCCAGACUCCUACGGGAGGCAGCAGUGGGGAAUAUUGCACAAUGGGCGCAAGCCUGAUGCAGCGACGCCGCGUGAGGGAUGACGGCCUUCGGGUUGUAAACCUCUUUCAGUAGGGAAGAAGCGAGAGUGACGGUACCUGCAGAAGAAGCGCCGGCUAACUACGUG